AUUGAACGCUGGCGGCAUGAUUUACACAUGCAAGUCGAACGGUAACAGGCCGCAAGGUGCUGACGAGUGGCGAACGGGUGAGUAAUGCAUCGGAACGUGCCCAGGCGUGGGGGAUAACUACUCGAAAGAGUAGCUAAUACCGCAUACGAUCUAUGGAUGAAAGCGGGGGACCGUAAGGCCCCGCGCGAUUUGAGCGGCCGAUGUCGGAUUAGCUAGUUGGGGGGGUAAAGGCACACCAAGCCAACGAUCUGUAGCCGGUCUGAGAGGAGGACCAGCCACACUGGAACUGAGACACGGUCCAGACUCCUACGGGAGGAAGCAGUGGGGAAUAUGGGACAAAGGGCGAAAGCCGGAUCCAGCAAUGCCGCGUGUGUGAAGAAGGUCUUCGGAUUGUAAAGCACUUUAAGUUGGGAGGAAGAGCAGGAAGUUAAUAACUUGCUGUUUGGACGGUACCAACAGAAUAAGCAACGGAGAACUUCGGG
RNAcentral lists this ribosomal RNA (482 nucleotides) under uncultured bacterium. Its description in RNAcentral is "partial 16S ribosomal RNA". It matches the Rfam family "Bacterial small subunit ribosomal RNA", at positions 29 to 507 of the family's 1533-position model. The record is from RNAcentral.